CAGCUGGGGCCCACUUGUCAGCGUCCUCCUCCCUCUCCUACCUUUCUUCCUCCCCUGCACCGUAUCCGAUCGGGACGCAAAAACCGGUAUCAAAUCUCCGGGAUUUUCGAGAUUUUGGAUGGAACCGACACCCUUAUAAGGCCGGAUACCUCCUGCGCAUCUCGUUUUCUCCUUCUACAAAGCAUGAAGACGCCCUAGUUGCCAUUGAAGCCGAGGAUUUGGAUCUUGCCGAGCCGAAUCCGUCAGCCGCCGUGAAAGACCACUCAUCGGAGCUUUUUGGCGGAAUUUGAUCGAGUGCCGAGCUGCGUGAGGUGUUUUCGGAGUUUCCG
This 329-nucleotide long non-coding RNA is filed under the name Sorghum bicolor (sorghum). Its description in RNAcentral is "long non-coding RNA (SBIC_LNC004487)". Lineage: Eukaryota; Viridiplantae; Streptophyta; Magnoliopsida; Poales; Poaceae. The record is from RNAcentral.